Molecule: ribosomal RNA, 433 nt
Filed under: uncultured bacterium
Lineage: Bacteria
Description: partial 16S ribosomal RNA
Rfam family: Bacterial small subunit ribosomal RNA
Source: RNAcentral
AACGAACGCUGGCGGCAGGCCUAACACAUGCAAGUCGAGCGCGCCCUUCGGGGUGAGCGGCGGACGGGUGAGUAACGCGUGGGAACGUGCCCUUCUCUGCGGAAUAGCCUCGGGUAACUGAGAGUAAUACCGCAUACGCCCUUUGGGGGAAAGAUUUAUCGGGGAAGGAUCGGCCCGCGUUGGAUUGGGUAGUUGGUGGGGUAAUGGCCCACCAAGCCGACGAUCCAUAGCUGGUUUGUGAGGAUGAUCAGCCACGCUGGGACUGAGGCACGGCCCAGACUCCGACGGGAGGCAGCAGUAGGGAAUCUUAGACAAUGGGGGCAAACCUGAUAUAGCCAUGCCGCGUGAGUGAUGAAGGCCUUAGGGUUGUGAAGCUCUUUCAGCUGGGAAGAUAAUGACGGUACCAGCAGAAGAAGCCCCGGCUAACCACGUG